Carcharodon carcharias (great white shark) is the source of this 369-nucleotide long non-coding RNA. RefSeq lists it as uncharacterized. The record is from RefSeq and is a predicted model, not a curated record. NCBI's taxonomy places the organism in Eukaryota, Metazoa, Chordata, Chondrichthyes, Lamniformes, Lamnidae. The transcript is spliced from 3 exons.
CAUUGCCAGUAGGUUAGUUGCUUCCAAGUGCCGACGCUGCUGUGUUAAAACUUCGACGGGAAAAGGAUCGAUUUUAAAUGGCAACUUCAACCCGGGGAAUGAAGAUUUAUCUGUAAGGGUUGCAUGCACCAUCAGGAGCCUUGAAUUUUGGCACUGGCCUAAAAGGAGGAAAGUAAGAGCUCUACCCUUCAAGGGAAGGAAAUACAUUUAACACAAUGAAUUACAAAGAGUGGAAUGAAGGCUUUGCAAACUACGCAUAUCACCAUUCAGAAACACUGGAAAUGGACAGAAGUGAACAGGGGAGACCUUCUGCAAUCCACACAACUCCACUGCAAUCUCCCUACCAGCAGAAUCCAUUAGAUUCACCAG